GGGAACGUAGCUCAGUCUGGGAGAGCACUACGCUGAAGACGUAGGUGAAUCAUACAACGAAAGGUGUAUAGUCCUAAAUCGAGAGUUCAAAUCUCUCCGUUCCCA
RNAcentral lists this transfer RNA (105 nucleotides) under Candidatus Nanoarchaeia archaeon. RNAcentral describes it as "tRNA-Phe". It matches the Rfam family "tRNA". From Rfam's summary of the family: Transfer RNA (tRNA) molecules are approximately 80 nucleotides in length. Their secondary structure includes four short double-helical elements and three loops (D, anti-codon, and T loops). Further hydrogen bonds mediate the characteristic L-shaped molecular structure. tRNAs have two regions of fundamental functional importance: the anti-codon, which is responsible for specific mRNA codon recognition, and the 3' end, to which the tRNAs corresponding amino acid is attached (by aminoacyl-tRNA synthetases). tRNAs cope with the degeneracy of the genetic code in two manners: having more than one tRNA (with a specific anti-codon) for a particular amino acid; and 'wobble' base-pairing, i.e. permitting non-standard base-pairing at the 3rd anti-codon position. Lineage: Archaea; Nanobdellati; Nanobdellota; Candidatus Nanoarchaeia. The record is from RNAcentral.